AGAACACUGACAGGGCCACCUGUGACAGAGUGGCCGUGCCCUGCACAAGAAAACACCGUUUCCAAGCUGAUUAUUACUGCCCUUAUCAGUGGCCACUGUCAGGGCUCCUGAUGCACUGCUGGGCUGGGCAAGAGGCUCAGCAGCUUCGAGCAGCCACAAGCUGGAUGAAGGUGGUCAUGGAGAAGAGGCAUGGCAAGUGAGGGCUCACCCUGUGGGUGCACACUCAUGUGCUGCCUUCGUGUUUGGAAACUUUCAUUUAUAAUGCUGUGGAUGUGCUGCCAGCACAGGAGAGACGGCAGCUCGGCAGUGCCCGGUCAGUGUCCUCGUGCCCGGGCUGUGACAGUGGCUGGGAACGCUGCUGACAACACCUGAGAGGCUGCCGAGCCUUUCUCAGAAAUUAAAAAAUGCAGU
This is a long non-coding RNA of Vidua chalybeata, 411 nucleotides long. RefSeq lists it as uncharacterized. NCBI's taxonomy places the organism in Eukaryota, Metazoa, Chordata, Aves, Passeriformes, Viduidae. The transcript has 3 exons. The record is from RefSeq and is a predicted model, not a curated record.